Long non-coding RNA from Homo sapiens (human), 1103 nucleotides. The record is from Ensembl. Lineage: Eukaryota; Metazoa; Chordata; Mammalia; Primates; Hominidae.
GAGACCGGAAGCUUGGGCUGCACGGAGCGGGCGGAGCCUGGGAAGGCCAGACUUCCUGGUCACGGUAAUGUCUCUUCCAACGUGGAGCCAGGACGCUCCGCCUUUGGGGAACGCUGGUGCAGGGCUUGGGACUCAGGGCAGUGCGGUCGAGCCCCUACCCACUCCGGAGAACCCCCGGCCCCGCCAGCGCGGCCGGGCUGCUGGCUCCCCUGGCGUCCGGUCGAGGCGCACACCCGCCUCGGUCCGACUGUGACCCCGGUGAGCUUCGGACCAUUCUGCCCCGCGACCUCAGCCUGAGAAGACCCGGGGCCCUGCCAGCUCCCGGGACUAUAACUUCAGUUGAGUCGCUACUUCCGCGGAUCCUGAGCUGGGGGAAAGUCGAGGGGUCCGGAAGGCUCAGGAGGGAUCGUGGACUUCAGGGUUCCCAGGCUGCUGGCGUGGAGCACCAACACCUUACAUGGAGGGGUUUCUGCUGCCAGAGCAGGCAAGGCCCUCCCCUCCCUAGUUUCUCACUGACCCCUUCUGGGUGUCCUCACGCAACUACACCAGCCACUGGUCUCCGCACUUUCCAGAGGGCCUGUGGGCAACUACGAAGCCGAACACUGCCAACCCAUCCACCCAGCAUCCCUGCAGCAUGCACAGAAAGGUUCACCCAGCAUGGUGUGCAAUAGGAAACUAAGCUCCUAUCUCAGCCUAUUUCUGGAUUGAUGCACGCUGUGCAAAAUGCCGUGGCAGCAGGAAGAGGGCUGCACAUAAGCAAGGGGUUCUGGAAAUUAAGACGUCUAGAGGAGAAAGCGUGAGACAUCCCGUGAUGGCAAUGCCACCGCCACCCCCUUGCCUAACCAAACCGUCCUCUGCUCCGGGCAAGUGGCCAUCUGGGAGCAUUAGCCAGGGAGGCACUCAUUGUGUCUUGCCAUCACGUCCACAGAGGGGGCCCCACACCUUGUCAUACUCAUUUGACAAACUCUCCAGAACUGCUGGUGCCAGCCCCCACAGGUCACCUUACAGGGCAACUCCAGACUCCACAAUGUGAGUCUAAUAUGUGUUCCAAGAAUCAAACAGGAUGAGCACCAAGACAUAAAGCUUAGAAAUAGCAAGACUGC